Molecule: transfer RNA, 27 nt
Filed under: Diadophis punctatus amabilis
Lineage: Eukaryota; Metazoa; Chordata; Lepidosauria; Squamata; Dipsadidae
Description: partial tRNA-Leu
Source: RNAcentral
UACCAAAGGAUAAUAGUAUUCCACUGG